GUUAGGGGAGGGUUUGGCCCAGCGUCGUCCGGGUUAGGGGAGGGUUUGGCCCAGCGUCGUCCGGGUUAGGGGAGGGUUUGGCCCAGCGUCGUCCGGGUUAGGGGAGGGUUUGGCCCAGCGUCGUCCGGGUUAGGGGAGGGUUUGGCCCAGCGUCGUCCGGGUUAGGGGAGGGUUUGGCCCAGCGUCGUCCGGGUUAGGGGAGGGUUUGGCCCAGCGUCGUCCGGGUUAGGGGAGGGUUUGGCCCAGCGUCGUCCGGGUUAGGGGAGGGUUUGGCCCAGCGUCGUCCGGGUUAGGGGAGGGUUUGGCCCAGCGUCGUCCGGGUUAGGGGAGGGUUUGGCCCAGCGUCGUCCGGGUUAGGGGAGGGUUUGGCCCAGCGUCGUCCGGGUUAGGGGAGGGUUUGGCCCAGCGUCGU
This is a long non-coding RNA of Oncorhynchus keta (chum salmon), 412 nucleotides long. RefSeq lists it as uncharacterized. The transcript has 3 exons. The record is from RefSeq and is a predicted model, not a curated record. Lineage: Eukaryota; Metazoa; Chordata; Actinopteri; Salmoniformes; Salmonidae.